Long non-coding RNA from Toxorhynchites rutilus septentrionalis, 478 nucleotides. RefSeq lists it as uncharacterized. The record is from RefSeq and is a predicted model, not a curated record. NCBI's taxonomy places the organism in Eukaryota, Metazoa, Arthropoda, Insecta, Diptera, Culicidae. The transcript has 4 exons.
GAAAAAACGGUUUGUUUUCAAACGUUCUGUCGUAGUGUGCGUUUCGGAGGAAGAAUUUGUGUUGGUAAUCAUUUUCCCGGCCUGAGCGUACGCAUGCGGAAAAUGGGUGAGCUCCCAGAAAUCAUUGCGGAACUGUAAUGUGCGUACUUCGCAGUCGUCAUUCCUCUUGAGGAAACAAAGCUAUUCGGAGCUUCUAAUCUUGGAUUAAAAUUGCACAGUUGACUAUUCAAUGUAUAUUAGACUGAGCAUGUGCAACACAAAGAAAUCUCAGGAAACGGGAGAGCAAAUAAUGUGGAUGAAAUGUACUGCGAUAUGGUCCCAUCAACUGCAAACUAAUCAGUUGUUCCUGUCCUAAAGGAUGAAAAUGUGCAACAGUAAAAGGAGCAAAACCUUGAUGAGUGAGGGUUUGAAAAAAUAUAUGAGAUUGAUUCGGUCGAGGCUGCGAUUAAAUCUGCACGAGCAAUAUUUAGAUGUAGAA